GACGAACGCUGGCGGCGUGCUUAACGCAUGCAAGUCGAACGGAAAGGCCCUGCUUUUGUGGGGUGCUCGAGUGGCGAACGGGUGAGUAACACGUGAGUAACCUGCCCUUGACUUUGGGAUAACUUCAGGAAACUGGGGCUAAUACCGGAUAGGAGCUCCUGCUGCAUGGUGGGGGUUGGAAAGUUUCGGCGGUUGGGGAUGGACUCGCGGCUUAUCAGCUUGUUGGUGGGGUAGUGGCUUACCAAGGCUUUGACGGGUAGCCGGCCUGAGAGGGUGACCGGCCACAUUGGGACUGAGAUACGGCCCAGACUCCUACGGGAGGCAGCAGUGGGGAAUAUUGCACAAUGGGCGGAAGCCUGAUGCAGCAUCUCCGCUUGCGGGAUGACGGCCUUCGGGUUGUAAACCGUUUUCGCCUGUGACGAAGCGUGAGUGACGGUAAUGGGUAAAGAAGCACCGGCUAACUACGUG
Molecule: ribosomal RNA, 468 nt
Filed under: uncultured bacterium
Lineage: Bacteria
Description: partial 16S ribosomal RNA
Rfam family: Bacterial small subunit ribosomal RNA
Source: RNAcentral